This 492-nucleotide ribosomal RNA is filed under the name uncultured bacterium. Its description in RNAcentral is "partial 16S ribosomal RNA". It matches the Rfam family "Bacterial small subunit ribosomal RNA", at positions 29 to 507 of the family's 1533-position model. The record is from RNAcentral.
AGUGAACGCUGGCGGUAGGCCUAACACAUGCAAGUCGAACGGCAGCACAGUAAGAGCUUGCUCUUACGGGUGGCGAGUGGCGGACGGGUGAGGAAUACAUCGGAAUCUACUUUUUCGUGGGGGAUAACGUAGGGAAACUUACGCUAAUACCGCAUACGACCUACGGGUGAAAGCAGGGGAUCUUCGGACCUUGCGCGAUUGAAUGAGCCGAUGUCGGAUUAGCUAGUUGGCGGGGUAAAGGCCCACCAAGGCGACGAUCCGUAGCUGGCCUGAGAGGGUGAUCAGCCACACUGGAACUGAGACACGGUCCAGACUCCUACGGGAGGCAGCAGUGGGGAAUAUUGGACAAUGGGCGCAAGCCUGAUCCAGCCAUACCGCGUGGGUGAAGAAGGCCUUCGGGUUGUAAAGCCCUUUUGUUGGGAAAGAAAAGCAGCAGGUUAAUACCCCGCUGUUCUGACGGUACCCAAAGAAUAAGCACCGGCUAACUUCGUG